Molecule: ribosomal RNA, 723 nt
Filed under: Vibrio sp. 12F05
Lineage: Bacteria; Pseudomonadati; Pseudomonadota; Gammaproteobacteria; Vibrionales; Vibrionaceae
Description: bacterial SSU rRNA
Rfam family: Bacterial small subunit ribosomal RNA
Source: RNAcentral
ACGCUGGCGGCAGGCCUAACACAUGCAAGUCGAGCGGAAACGAGUUAUCUGAACCUUCGGGGAACGAUAACGGCGUCGAGCGGCGGACGGGUGAGUAAUGCCUAGGAAAUUGCCCUGAUGUGGGGGAUAACCAUUGGAAACGAUGGCUAAUACCGCAUGAUGCCUACGGGCCAAAGAGGGGGACCUUCGGGCCUCUCGCGUCAGGAUAUGCCUAGGUGGGAUUAGCUAGUUGGUGAGGUAAGGGCUCACCAAGGCGACGAUCCCUAGCUGGUCUGAGAGGAUGAUCAGCCACACUGGAACUGAGACACGGUCCAGACUCCUACGGGAGGCAGCAGUGGGGAAUAUUGCACAAUGGGCGCAAGCCUGAUGCAGCCAUGCCGCGUGUGUGAAGAAGGCCUUCGGGUUGUAAAGCACUUUCAGUCGUGAGGAAGGURGURUAGUUAAUAGCUGYAUYAUUUGACGUUAGCGACAGAAGAAGCACCGGCUAACUCCGUGCCAGCAGCCGCGGUAAUACGGAGGGUGCGAGCGUUAAUCGGAAUUACUGGGCGUAAAGCGCAUGCAGGUGGUUUGUUAAGUCAGAUGUGAAAGCCCGGGGCUCAACCUCGGAAUAGCAUUUGAAACUGGCAGACUAGAGUACUGUAGAGGGGGGUAGAAUUUCAGGUGUAGCGGUGAAAUGCGUAGAGAUCUGAAGGAAUACCGGUGGCGAAGGCGGCCCCCUGGACA